Molecule: ribosomal RNA, 403 nt
Filed under: uncultured bacterium
Lineage: Bacteria
Description: partial 16S ribosomal RNA
Rfam family: Bacterial small subunit ribosomal RNA
Source: RNAcentral
AUUGAACGCUGGCGGCAGGCCUAACACAUGCAAGUCGAGCGAGCGGCGGACGGGUGAGUAAUGUAUGGGGACUGCCCGACAGACGGGGAUAACUACUGGAAACGGUGGCUAAUACCGCAUACUAUCGGAUAACCCAUAGUGGAUUAGCUAGUAGGUGGGGUAAAGGCUCACCUAGGCGACGAUGCCUAGCUGGUCUGAGAGGAUGAUCAGCCACACUGGGACUGAGACACGGCCCAGACUCCUACGGAGGCAGCAGUGGGGAAUAUUGGACAAUGGGCGCAAGCCUGAUGCAGCCAUGCCGCGUGUAUGAAGAAGGCCUUAGGGUUGUAAAGUACUGUCAGCAGGGAGGCGUUACCCGAACAAGAAGCACCGGCUAACUCCGUGCCAGCAGCCGCGGUAAUUC